AUAAAGUUUGAUUCUAGCUUAAAAUAAAACAUUCAAAUUUUUGUACAUGUAAUUUAUAGGGGCAGUACUUUGUAUUAUAUAAAUUUAAAAGUUAUAAAAAUAUGUGGAGGAUUGGAUAAAAUUGUGCCAGCAUCUGCGGUUACACAAUAAAUUAAGGUUUUAUAUUUUAGAUAAAUUAAAUUUUUAAAGGAUUUAUUUAUAUUUAUAAUUUAUUUUGUGAAAUUUUUUUUAUAUCUAAGUUUUUUAAUUUUAUUUAUUUUAAAUUUUAUUAAAGACCGGGAUUAGAUACCCCGUUAUGGAUUUAUUUUUUACUUAAGUAGUAGGGUUUUUGAAACUUAAAUAAUUUGGCGGUAAUUGAUCUUAUUAGAGGAACCUGUCCUGUAAUCGAUAUUACACGUUAGUUACUUUAUUUUAGUUUAUAUAUCGUUGUUGGAAAAAUUAAUUGGUAAAUUAAUUUAAUUAAAUUAAUUUCUUUAUAAUUCAAAUCAAGGUUUAAUUUAUAUUAAAGAAGAGAUGGGUUACAUUAUUUGUAAUUGUGAAUUUAGAAAAUGGAUUUAAAAGUAAUUUUAUUAUUUAAUUAAUUUGAAUUGAGUUCUUAAUUAUGUACACAUCGCCCGUCGCUCUAAUUGUUUAUUAGAUAAGUCGUAACAAAGUAGACUUUCCGGAAGGAAAUUCUAGU
Molecule: non-coding RNA, 679 nt
Filed under: Dicranocentrus wangi
Lineage: Eukaryota; Metazoa; Arthropoda; Collembola; Entomobryomorpha; Entomobryidae
Source: RNAcentral